Long non-coding RNA from Alnus glutinosa, 775 nucleotides. RefSeq lists it as uncharacterized. Lineage: Eukaryota; Viridiplantae; Streptophyta; Magnoliopsida; Fagales; Betulaceae. The transcript has 2 exons. The record is from RefSeq and is a predicted model, not a curated record.
UGCUUCAAUAACUUCUACACUCUAAUUGGAAGAGAAAAUGUCAGUUUCUUCAUUUAUUGGAGUUUUGGUAAUCUUUGCUCUGGUCUUUGUUUUUGUUUCGCCUACUUUGCCUUUGUAUCGGCCGACUCCUCUUCCUGCUGUCAUCAAUAGUCAACCAUGUGAAAGUUUAAGCAAAACUUGGCACGGGAGAUGUAGGAGCACAAGAAACUGUGAUAGGCAUUGCAGGAAUCAGGAGAAGGCAGAUAAUGGGGCAUGUCAGGGGUUUUGGCAUAAAAAAUGCUAUUGCUAUACAUCGGAAAUGUGCCUGAAUACAAGACGAUGAAAACGCAUCGAAAGGUGUAAAAAGACUCCUUUAACAGUAGUUGUUGCAACUGAUGUUAGAGAAUAUACUCUCCGUAUACCGGGGAUUUGGUUUGAGAAAUAUAUUGUAAUUAUAAUCAAUCAAAUCUAAUUGAUUUGAUUGAUUUAUUUGUAGCAGAUUUGAUGGUAAUUAAUCAAAUCAAAUUGAUUGAUUAUCAUACUUAUCUACCCAAACUCUGCUAUAAAUAAGAGUUUAUUGUAUUGUGAAAUAAGAGUAAAAUGUAGCUUUUGGGGCUUUUUCCUGUGAACGUAGAUUAUAGACGGAACCACAUAAAAUAUCUUGUCUCUUUUCUAUUAUUUUGCUUUAUUUUAUUUUAGCUUUAUGUUUUCUUUCGACUGGCAUAAUAAAUGACAAUGUAAUCGAUGAAUAAACUAUGGAUACACAAUAUAAUUUUUCAUCUCUACCAUCUUAUCG